UACGGAGGAUGCGAGCGUUAUCCGGAUUUAUUGGGUUUAAAGGGUGCGUAGGCGGACGCUUAAGUCAGCGGUAAAAUUGCGGGGCUCAACCUCGUCGAGCCGUUGAAACUGGGUGCCUUGAGUGGGCGAGAAGUACGCGGAACGCGUGGUGUAGCGGUGAAAUGCAUAGAUAUCACGCAGAACUCCGAUUGCGAAGGCAGCGUACCGGCGCCCUACCGACGCUGAAGCACGAAGGCGUGGGUAUCGAACAGG
Molecule: ribosomal RNA, 252 nt
Filed under: uncultured bacterium
Lineage: Bacteria
Description: partial 16S ribosomal RNA
Rfam family: Bacterial small subunit ribosomal RNA
Source: RNAcentral